UCGGGAAUCUUGCGCAAUGGGCGAAAGCCUGACGCAGCGACGCCGCGUGAGUGAUGAAGGCCUUCGGGUUGUAAAGCUCUGUGGGGAGAGAAGAAUAAGUGCGGGCUAAUACCCCGCAUGAUGACGGUAUCUCCUUAGCAAGCACCGGCUAACUCUGUGCCAGCAGCCGCGGUAAGACAGAGGGUGCAAACGUUGUUCGGAAUUACUGGGCGUAAAGCGAGUGUAGGCGGUUUGGUAAGUCGGAUGUGAAAGCCCCGGGCUCAACCCGGGAAGUGCAUUCGAUACUGCCAAGCUAGAGUAUCGGAGAGGUUGGUGGAAUUCUCGGUGUAGAGGUGAAAUUCGUAGAUAUCGAGAGGAACACCGGUGGCGAAGGCGGCCAACUGGACGAAUACUGACGCUGAGACUCGAAAGCGUGGGGAGCAAACAGGAUUAGAUACCCCCGUAGUCCCUGAGCGGGCUGGCAAGGCGCAU
This 471-nucleotide ribosomal RNA is filed under the name uncultured bacterium. RNAcentral's name for it is "bacterial SSU rRNA". It matches the Rfam family "Bacterial small subunit ribosomal RNA", at positions 355 to 825 of the family's 1533-position model. The record is from RNAcentral.